RNAcentral lists this ribosomal RNA (346 nucleotides) under uncultured bacterium. RNAcentral describes it as "bacterial SSU rRNA". It matches the Rfam family "Bacterial small subunit ribosomal RNA", at positions 1 to 334 of the family's 1533-position model. The record is from RNAcentral.
GCGUCGUCUUCAGAGUUUGAUCCUGGCUCAGGAUGAACGCUGGCGGCGUGCUUAACACAUGCAAGUCGAACGGACUUAUUUUGAAAGCUUGCUUUUAAAAUAAGUUAGUGGCGGACGGGUGAGUAACGCGUGGGUAACCUGCCUCAUACAGGGGGAUAACAGUUAGAAAUGACUGCUAAUACCGCAUAAGCGCACAGUACCGCAUGGUACAGUGUGAAAAACUCCGGUGGUAUGAGAUGGACCCGCGUCUGAUUAGCUAGUUGGUGAGGUAACGGCCCACCAAGGCGACGAUCAGUAGCCGGCCUGAGAGGGUGAACGGCCACAUUGGGACUGAGACACGGCCCAA